CCAAUAGCGUAUAUUAAAGUUGUUGCAGUUAAAAAGCUCGUGGUUGAAUUUCAGGCCUGGCUGGACGGUCCGCCUUUUGGGUGAGUACUGUCUGUGGUCGGGUCCUACCUUCUGGCGAAGCGUCAUGGCCUUAACCGGCCGUGGCGGGGAACCAGGACUUUUACUGUGAAAAAAUUAGAGUGUUCAAAGCAGGCAGUCGCUUUAAUACAUUAGCAUGGAAUAAUGGAAUAGGACAAUGGUUCUAUUUGUUGGUUUCUAGGACCGUUGUAAUGAUUAAUAGGGAUAGUUGGGGGCAUUAGUAUUCAAUUGUCAGAGGUGAAAUUCUUGGAUUUAUUGAAGACUAACUACUGCGAAAGCAUUUGCCAAGGAUGUUUUCAUUAAUCAAGAACGAAAGUUAGGGGAUCGAAGACGAUCAGAUACCGUCGUAGUCUUAACCAUAAACUAUGCCGACUAGGAAUCGGGCGAUGUUGACAAAAUGACGCGCUCGGCACCUCAUG
This 497-nucleotide ribosomal RNA is filed under the name uncultured Glomeromycotina. Its description in RNAcentral is "partial small subunit ribosomal RNA". It matches the Rfam family "Eukaryotic small subunit ribosomal RNA", at positions 591 to 1092 of the family's 1831-position model. Lineage: Eukaryota; Fungi; Glomeromycota. The record is from RNAcentral.